CAGCAGCAGCCGCGGUAAUACGAAGGGUGCAAGCGUUACUCGGAAUUACUGGGCGUAAAGCGUGCGUAGGUGGUGGCUUAAGUCCGUUGUGAAAGCCCUGGGCUCAACCUGGGAAUUGCAGUGGAUACUGGGUCACUAGAGUGUGGUAGAGGAUAGUGGAAUUUCCGGUGUAGCAGUGAAAUGCGUAGAGAUCGGAAGGAACAUCUGUGGCGAAGGCGACUAUCUGGGCCAACACUGACACUGAGGCACGAAAGCGUGGGGAGCAAACAGGAUUAGAUACCCCGGUAGUCCCUGUCUCUUAUAA
This 304-nucleotide ribosomal RNA is filed under the name uncultured bacterium. Its description in RNAcentral is "partial 16S ribosomal RNA". It matches the Rfam family "Bacterial small subunit ribosomal RNA", at positions 506 to 809 of the family's 1533-position model. The record is from RNAcentral.